RNAcentral lists this ribosomal RNA (407 nucleotides) under uncultured bacterium. RNAcentral describes it as "partial 16S ribosomal RNA". It matches the Rfam family "Bacterial small subunit ribosomal RNA", at positions 28 to 526 of the family's 1533-position model. The record is from RNAcentral.
GACGAACGCUGGCGGCGUGCCUAAUACAUGCAAGUAGAACGCAGUUGCGAACGGGUGAGUAACACGUAGGUAACUGCCUGGUAGCGGGGGGUAACUAUUGGAAACGAUAGCUAAUACCGCAUACUACCAGAUGGACCUGCGUUGUAUUGGCUAGUUGGUUGGGUAACGGCUCACCAAGGCAACGAUUCAUAGCCGACCUGAGAGGGUGAUCGGCCACACUGGGACUGGGGCACCGCCCAGACUUCCACGGGAGGCAGCAGUAGGGGAACUUCGGCAAUGGGGGGAACCCUGACCGAGCAACGCCGGGUGGGUUAAGAAGGUUUUCGGAUCGGAAAGCUCUGUUGUGAAGGAAGCGGUACUUAACCAGAAAGGGCCGGCUAACUACGUGCCAGCAGCCGCGGUAAUUC